UCCCUGAUGACUCAGUGGUAAAGAAUCUGCUUGCCAGUGCAGGAAGACACAGGUUCAAUCCCUGAUCUGGGAA
This 73-nucleotide transfer RNA is filed under the name Bos taurus (domestic cattle). It matches the Rfam family "tRNA". Rfam says of the family: Transfer RNA (tRNA) molecules are approximately 80 nucleotides in length. Their secondary structure includes four short double-helical elements and three loops (D, anti-codon, and T loops). The record is from Rfam by way of RNAcentral. Lineage: Eukaryota; Metazoa; Chordata; Mammalia; Artiodactyla; Bovidae.